CGGGUGAAGUGGAUAGCAGGAUACUUGUCACAUAAUCAGGCGCUUGUGGAGUAGUCCAGUAGCUGUGCCCAGAGUUGAGGGUGUAGGCUUGGAUGCAGUCAGAAGGUGGCGCCCGCCACUCGCUACAUGCUUGCGGUGGUGGCGUGGAUGUGCCAUCAUAGGUAAGAGGUCACGUGAUUCUGGUAUAUUAGCCUGUUACAUUCUGAGCUUCAAUUUUCAUCAGAAGUCGGCAAAUAUGCGGUCCUGCUUGAACAUGAUGUCAGGUUGCUGGUAGUCGCGGUCACGGGAGCACGUGGCAUCUGCCAUAAUGUGUGUCUCCAUGCCAGUCUUCUGCUUACUCAGCAACACCUCUUGGGCCCAUCACAGUCAGGUAGCUUCCCAGGAGUAGACCAGGAUCACCCCCGGGAUGCAGAGUGGAUUUGGUGGGGCUCAUGACACACAUGGCCAGAAGAUCGGUCACUGCUCCCAUCCGGUAUGCCUCCC
Non-coding RNA from Pelobates cultripes (western spadefoot toad), 483 nucleotides. NCBI's taxonomy places the organism in Eukaryota, Metazoa, Chordata, Amphibia, Anura, Pelobatidae. The record is from the annotation of a GenBank genome assembly.